Molecule: ribosomal RNA, 832 nt
Filed under: Halostreptopolyspora alba
Lineage: Bacteria; Bacillati; Actinomycetota; Actinomycetes; Streptosporangiales; Nocardiopsidaceae
Description: bacterial LSU rRNA
Rfam family: Bacterial large subunit ribosomal RNA
Source: RNAcentral
GUGGUCAAGUGUGUAUGGCACACGGUGGAUGCCUUGGCGCUAGGAGCCGAUGAAGGACGUGGGAGCCUGCGAUAAGCCUCGGGGAGCCGGCAACCAGGCGUUGAUCCGGGGGUGUCCGAAUGGGGGAACCCGGCGGGUGUCACGAUCCGUCACCGCUGUCUGAAUGUAUAGGGCAGUGGAGGGGACGCGGGGAAGUGAAACAUCUCAGUACCCGCAGGAAGAGAAAACAAGAGUGAUCCUCGGAGUAGUGGUGAGCGAAACGGGGUGAGGCUAAACCGAUCAUGUGGAGAAGCCGGCAGGUGUUGCGUGGUCGGGGUUGUGGGACCGCUCGGUCGGGGCUGCCGCUCCGGCGGGGAGUGAGAAACCGUGGGGUUAGCCGAAGGGCCUGGGAUGGUCCGGCGUAGUGGGUGAGACUCCCGUAGGUGAAGGCCCUGUGGCUCUCGAGUGGGAUCCCAAGUAGCACGGGGCUCGGGAAAUCCUGUGUGAAUCGGGCAGGACCUCCUGUCAAGCCUAAAUAUGUCCUAGCGACCGAUAGUGCACCAGUACCGUGAGGGAAAGGUGAAAAGUGCCCCGGUGAGGGGUUGUGAAAGAGAACUUGAAACCGUGUGCUGACAAGCCGUGGGAGCAUGCUUGUGGGUGUGUGACCGCGUGCCUAUUGAAGAAUGAGCCUGCGAGUUGUGGUGUGUGGCGAGGUUAACCCGGGUGGGGCAGCCGUAGCGAAAGCGAGUCUUUGUGGGCGGAUAGUCGCAUGCUGCAGACCCGAAACGGAGUGAUCUACCCAUGUCCAGGGUGAAGCGCGGGUAAGACCGUGUGGAGGCCCGAACCCACCAGG